Dromaius novaehollandiae (emu) is the source of this 14568-nucleotide RNA transcript. It is a transcript of the gene named dihydropyrimidinase, with no coding region annotated. Lineage: Eukaryota; Metazoa; Chordata; Aves; Casuariiformes; Dromaiidae. The record is from RefSeq and is a predicted model, not a curated record. The transcript is spliced from 11 exons.
GGGCCGUUCGCAGGUAACCUGGUGCUCCGGGAGAAGGGUGGGCAGUGAGAUACCUUUGGGGAAGGGCAAGUCCCGGAGCUCAGGCCUCGUGGUGACCUCGUAGGUGCCUGAAGAAGAGCCAAUGCCAUCCCAAACUGUGGCGCAGCAGAGGCUUUUGAUCAAGGGGGGCAAAGUUGUGAACGACGACCACUCUGUGGUGGCUGACGUGUACGUGGAAGAUGGAGUGGUGAGGCGAGUGGGAACCAACCUCUGCCCCGAGCCACCCAGCGGGCUCCUCGUGUUGGAUGCAACCAACAAGCUGGUGAUCCCUGGGGGCAUCGACACGCAUACGCACAUGCAGUUCCCUUUCAUGGGCAGCAGGUCGAAAGAUGACUUCUACACAGGAACGAAGGCUGCUAUAGCAGGAGGCACAACUAUGAUCAUUGACUUUGCCAUCCCUCAGAAAGGCUGCUCCCUUAUUGAAGCCUUUGAUACUUGGAAGAGCUGGGCAGACCCUAAAGUCUGCUGUGAUUAUGCACUGCACGUGGGAGUUACAUGGUGGAGCAACAAGGUGAAGGAAGAAAUGAAAAGUCUUGUCCAAAGCAAAGGUGUCAACUCCUUCAAGAUGUUUAUGGCCUAUAAAGAUCUAUACAUGGUCAAUGAUGAGGUAUUAUAUGAAGCUUUUUCCCAGUGUAAGGAACUUGGAGCAAUUGCUCAAGUCCAUGCAGAGAACGGGGAGUUAAUUGCACAGGGUGCAAAGAAGAUGCUGGCCAUGGGAAUAACUGGUCCUGAGGGGCAUGAGCUGUGUCGUCCUGAAGAAGUGGAAGCUGAAGCUACACAGAGAGCAAUUACCAUAGCAAACGUUAUAAACUGCCCCCUUUUUGUAGUCCAUGUAAUGAGUAAAUCUGCAGCAAGGGUGAUAACUAAUGCACGAAGAGAAGGGAAGGUGGUUUAUGGGGAGCCUAUUGCUGCUAGUCUUGGCACUGAUGGUACCAACUACUGGAAUAAAGACUGGCAGCAUGCUGCAGGACAUGUCAUGGGACCUCCACUGAGACCAGAUCCUUCUACUCCUGAUUUUCUCAUGAACUUAUUGGCCAAUGAUGACCUGUCUGUGACAGGGACUGAUAAUUGCACCUUUGACACAUGCCAGAAAGCUCUGGGGAAGGAUGACUUCACCAAAAUCCCUAAUGGAGUGAAUGGUGUAGAAGACAGGAUGUCAGUCAUAUGGGAAAAAGGCGUUUACAGUGGAAAAAUGGAUGAAAACAGAUUUGUAGCUGUUACCAGCACAAAUGCAGCAAAAAUCUUUAACCUUUACCCAAAGAAGGGGAGAAUUGCUGUGGGUUCUGAUGCUGACAUCGUAAUUUGGGAUCCCAAAGCUACAAGGACAAUAUCUGCAGAGACCCAUCACCAGGCCAACAACUUCAAUAUAUUUGAAGGAAUGGUCUGCCACGGAGUCCCAGUUGCAACAAUUUCAAGAGGCAAAGUGGUUUAUGAAGGUGGAACUUUCAAUGUCACAGCAGGGGAAGGCAGAUAUGUCUCCCGUCCACCAUUCCCUCCAUAUGUCUACAAACGAGUGAGGCAGCGGGAUCAGGUCUGCCAGCCCGUUCCUGUUAAGAGAGCACCAUAUACAGAUGUGGUCUCAGCAACGCCCAUCACACCACAAUAAUAGGCUCAUUCCCAAGGUUUGGCUCUUGCAGAUAAAAGUAACCUCGCUCUCCCCAGUGAAGCCAUGCAUGCUGGUUCCAACGACUAGUCGAUCCAUAAUCAACUUUUCAAGCACCAACAUGUGACAACAAUAACCAAUAAACAUUAUACAGGCCUUCCUGCUUGAAAGUUGUCAUAGAAAUUUCUGUUUAAAAGGAAUUCGUUAUUAGAACCGAAAAAUGAUUUUAAGCAAAUGGAGUAAUAGUAAAAUAAUAAUUAUAAUUAUAAUGUAGCAGCAGAUAUGUAGGUUCUUAGAAGUAGGUACGUCUGGAGAUUGUAUUUCUUCAUAUUUUUCUUUAGAAGAUAUCAGCUAAUCUAUAAAGUAAAAGCAAUGAGUUUUCAGCAAGGGUUAAACAUAUUCUAUAUUCUUCCUCUGUUAGGUCACUAAUUUCAUGUGUUACAAAGAUUUCUGUUACAUUCAGGGAUUCAGAGAAUUCUGACAACAGAUAGCUGAGUUUGAUUUUUGGUUUUUUCCCUUCCUGGAUGGAGACAUCAGGUACAGCAAGAUCCUGAUUCAGGGCAACUGUCACUGGUUGAAAAGGCGCUGCUACAUUGCUCUGUCCUUAUCUUUGAAGGAGUUCAUACGUUCGAACUGUUCCAUUUGCAUAGCCAGGUGUUUAUUGAUCUGGUCAAGUGACUAUUUUAUUUUCCCUAGGCUAACCUAUAGUUACCAUGCUGAUGAACUCACUUAUAAUACCGUUCUGCAUUGUGUUCUGGCUUUAUAGAGGGACAUACAUGCGUAGCCUAUAGGUCACCAAGGGCAGAGAAUAAUACCACAAUUUCAAAAACCUUUUUUGACUGAAAAUGUGAGGUUUUCCCCCAUGUAAAUAAUACUUUGCUUUUGUAAGAUAGGAUUUUUCUCAUUUGCCAGAUUUAUCCUGUUUCCUCUUUGAGGGGUAAGAAUAUUCUUUGAAGUGUGAUGACAUUACCAUGCCUAGACAGGUUUUGCCGUGGAAACCUAGAAUGUUUUUUAAAAUUUCAUUUUCACAUGCAAUAGCCUUUCUUUUUAAGCAACUGUCACUAGGCAAUAUUUGAAAGAAAAAUGACAAAAUAUCAAAAAAAAAAAAAAAAAAAACUGCCACACCUAUACAGGGCGUUUAUUGAUCCUAUAAGUAGCAGCAGUAUAAUCUGUCCUUCUGUGCAACCCAUGGGCCAAACAGACACAGAAAGACACACAUGCCCACUGUAUUUUAAGACAGACACAGAAAGAAUAUGAUAAUUACUGUUGUUUUUAAUUUGACAAUGGAAGGUAGAUUUGUAGUUCCUGCUAUAUGCAUAUAGGCAUGCAAUGAGGUAUGAGCUUGUAUGAGAAACAAACUCCUAGCUGAUCAGUAGGUCUGAUGUCUCUAAAUAGCAAAGGAAACUUUUCUUCAUAACAUGACAGAGAACAGUCAUGCAGAUCAUUAAAGCCCAAAGGAGCAAAGAUAGUGAUUUUUCUAAAAACAGAUGUUUUCACAGUGUGAUAACAGCAAGUAGUUUUAUGACUUACAUAAACACCAGUUAUGUAAAUCGAGUUCCCUAAACCAUGAAAGUAUAUUAUCUGUGGAAAAAUAUAUCAUCUUUUUAGGCAUCCUACACAGUUUUUUUAGAGUAGAAAUAAGGAAGCUUCUCCAUAUACCAUUAGCAAAGAGCUCCUGAUUCCUCUAUUGGUAUAUUCUGCUCUAUAUCAUGGCUUAUACCACUCAUAAAGGGAAUCCUUUGGGUUUUGUUCACAACAGAUUUAUACUUUUAAUUGCAAUGACUCUUAUAACUAGUUUGCAGAAGUCAUGGAAAAAUUCAUCUGCAUAUUCUGCACUGGGAUUUACACCAAAGUGUCCAUUGUAUUUUUGCAACCUUUAGUGCAAAAAUCAUUGAAACCUGUCAGAUUUAUGAUAUUCAUGAGUAUUUAUUUUCUCAUGGCACACAGAACACAAAUCCUGCCUUUAUCAGUUGCUGCAAGGUGCCAGCUGAUAGCCCUUGGGAAACUGUGUGACAUUAAGUAUUUCAGCUCUGUUUUUCAGGCACUGGAGCCUACUGGAGUCUGGCAGUUGAGGCUGUCAGGCUCCAAAUCUGUGCAGUCUUUGUUCUUUCCCCAGUUAAGCAGAGCACACUUAGUGGUAGGAUCUUCGUAGGGGUAUAAUUUUGGAACUGUCCAGGUCCCUAUUCCAAAACACCAGUAGUGAGUGACAGCCGAACCAAAUAUAGUAGGAAGGCUUUUCUAAUAGGCAUAUAGUUGAUGUGGAAUGAAAUGUGAUUAUAAAAUGCAUCUAUGUCAGCACAAGUCCUGAACUGGAGCACUGGAAGGAGCAUUGGACCACCUCUUACUCCUGCCUCAGUCUCUAGUCCCUGGCUAGACUUCUGAAUUCAUCCUGCAACCUGAUCUUAGCUAUUGCUUGCUUAUUACAGACUUGUUGCUGGAGCUGUGUUAUAAUUGUUAUUCUAAGACAACAGCUGCAACACAGUGGAUUGCAAAGUUGGCCUAGAGAUGACUUGUGCAGCCACACAGUUUCCUUGGUCCUUUCACAGGGAAGCAGGAAAAAAAUUACUUUCCCACAGAUGUUUGUAGCCUGGCUCAUUGAACCACAUUCCUCAGGCUGCUGCAGCCUUUACUGAGAGAAAUCUUUGAUUUUGUUUUUGAUUUUCAGUGCUUUGGUCAUUCAGCCAAAGUGAGCAGAUAACUUAUUUUGUCAUGGUUAAAACACAGAGCAACUUCUCCCUUCUUCGCACUUCUCAUUGGGAUACUGCUGGUUUCCUUUCUGUUCUUUUAUGGGAAGGUGAAGAUUCGAAUGCAUCAUAACAGUAAGGCAAAGCCUCUGCUAGCCAUGUUUAUCUCACUCUCCCUAGCCAGUCAGAAAGCUGGGGUCUCUAGUGCCCUGCACCCUCCGGUGAGGUGGAAUCCAGGGCCAGGAGCAGAGAAAGAACUAGGGACAGCCGAUCCUGAUACAUUAUUUUCUAGUUAUAUAACAUUGUUUUCAUCCCCAUAAUUUGCCAGAGAAAUUCUGGCAUGGCCAGCACAUGUUUAUUGUCUGGUUUUCUGUUAGCUAUCAUUCACUGCUUGUAAAGAGCUUACUGCUGUGGUGCAACCACCUCCACCUGCAGUGGUUUGCUCUACCAGCCAGAGUACUAGGGGAUCUCUAUAGACAGCAAUACUGGUGUACAUAGCUUUCCUGGGCCACUGGAGGGCAGGACUGGUAUUAUGUAUCAAGAAUAGCCUGAGAAACAAGGUACUGUCAUGCACAGCAACACCCAUGAAGCAUGUUCACAUGUUUUGAGGCCUGUGCUCAUGAAGUUCACAAUAACAGCCUUACUUUUGGACUGUAUUUCAUCAGCAGGAAAUAGAGUUCAGUUAAUCCUUAUUUUCCACUUUUGCAGCAUAAAACAGAACCAGAGGAACUUGUCCAUUCUUUUUUUUUUUUUUCUUCUUUAUUUGCAAGCACCUCUGGGUGAUUCAGACUGUGCUGAAAACAAAGUGAGUCAGAGCCACAAUAUUGACAGAGCAGGGAUUGGGGUAAAAGCAGUUGUAAACCCAGUGUCCUCUGAUUUAGCAUACUCAGCUGCCCAUGAAAAAUGCUAUAGCAAAACUAGCACAGGGCAAAAAAAAAAAGCCUUUAGCUUCGCCAUGGAGCGAGCCCAGGUUUGGAGCGUGGGGUAGUAACUCGGCGAGUUCUAUAAACAGUUGCUGAUGGUAAACAGCCUCGGUUGUAUCAUACAUCAGGAGGGUCAGGAGUGCUAGCAUGUCUCUCUGAAUUAUUGUCACAAGGCAAUCAGGUCAACCUUUCAUUAAUUUUGCAAACCAGAUUUGAUCCAAUUGGGGGAUUUUUCACAGUCAGUGAAACAACUUCUACACUGUUGAAGGACGUUUAAAAAGGAAGUUGAGCUCUGCUGUGAGUUCAGAGAAGGAAAGGGAUAAAUGAGUCAAAGGCCAAAUCCAAACUUCUCCUCAGACUCUUGUUCUGACUGCUGGUGAUACAUGAAUUUCUUCUGGCAAGCUCUAGAGAAGCAGUUAGAGACAAAGUCCAGUAAAGGGGAGAGGUGCUAAAAAUUCCAAUUAAGCCAAUAAAUGAAUAAAUAAAACCCUUAAUUUCAAAUGUGCUGGUAGUUCACUUAUGCUUCCAGAAAGAAAAAAUACAUGCUUUUAUCUAUGUGGGAAAAUGUUCUAUAAGAGCAGAAGAAAAUAUAUCAAAAGAGGAAAGAAGACUCUAAAUGAGGAAGAGCAGGGGAAAGAGCCAAAAUAAAACAUAGGAAAUGUGAGGAGAAGGUAGGCAAGAAGAGGAACAGAAAUUGUGGAAAAUACUGUUUUUUUAUUGGAACUUGCAGACCGAUUUAUUUUUAAUAAAUAAGAAGAAAAAGCAAUGAUGUAACCACAUGAUUGAAGGGAUGGUAAACAGACAGGACAAAGGGAAUCGCUGGGCAGCAGGCAGAGCAGACAGCUGAAGAUAAUGAAAGAAACCCCCAAACUUCCCCUGCUUGCAGGACAGAAACAAAUAGGAAGAAACGGAAACCUAGUAAGGUCUGUGGAGACUGAGAGUUAUGUCUCUGUGCAAUGCUGGGAGAAAGACAGGCCAUCCUUUUUUCAUCUGUACAACUAUAAAGAAGAUUUCAGGGUAUUAAUGGGUAUUUCCAUUAGCAGGUAUUUCUUCUCCUUUCUUCUCCACCCAAGGGCAACUGAGGCAAAGAACUAAAACUAGAUCAGUAGAUCAGGGUAAGAACCCUGUAGAUCAGGGUAAGAACUGUCCUAUAACCGAGAUGAAUCCCAGUGUCUCUGAGGCCACGAAGGUGACUUUAUUUUAGAAUUCAAAAAGAAUGUGCCAAAUGUGCCAUUUUCCCAGGUAACGCAGAUUUAGGGAAGUAGGGAAGAGCAGAGUCAUCUCCUUUGCCUACCAUUCAGCUCAUUUUCAACACAGGGCUAUGCACAGGUAUAGUCACAUAAGCAAAUUGUCCAUUAGUCCACUCAAGUGUGCAUGUCCAAUACAAGUGUAACAGCAACAACAUUUGCAAGAUGGCACCCUCAUGCUGGCACAAGCACAGCACAAAAUAACCCAAGCUUCUGCCCUAUAUUUCUAACGUGUUUUCUGCAAUGCUUUCUGCACAGCCACAGAAUCACAGAGUAGUUGAGGUCAGAAGGGACCUGGAAAAGUCUUUUAUCGUUGCCAUGGAUCUUGCCCAUAUGAGUAAGCAAGCUACGCAAUACACAGUUUGGUACACAGCAUUCGGGUAUGACACUGUUCUGUAACCCCCGGUCUCCACCACCCUACCAUGGACUACUAAUAGGCUCUUUUUUGUAAUCAGUCAGGCCCACUAUGCUAAAGUGUCUCAAAUAAAUAUGAAGUGCAGGCAUGGUAUAGUCCUGACAGUGUAUUCACAAACUCGAAAUCCUAACAGUCUUACUUUAGGUAUCUAGUCCAACCAUUUAUCCCCUUCUGAGUUUCAGAGGAACUAUUCCAGUGUGCUACAAAGCUUUCUCUUACUGCUUGCAGAGCAAAAGAGAAAAAGGUAUGCUGGGUGGCUAGACAGUAAUACAACAGGAAAAGCAAAAAACUCCGAGACAAAUUUUGCACCCUUGCCGCCAAAUGAAACAAAAAUCUCACCCUUGUGAUACUGGUGCUAGUCAAACUUGCCACCACCUUCUCAUCAAUGAAAGAUCAAGGCACCACCCUGUCCUUCAGGACUCAAGGAAGCACGUCUGACUCAUACCAGCACUGAAUUUUUCGGGACUCAACCAAAAAUGCUCAGCUCUUACUCGACAUUUAACUUUCCUCUUCUGUCUGCGGUGAUAACAGGACAAAGGAACACGUCCUUUUGUCAAUAUACCUAGACAGCUAAUCUGCAUUGUGCAAGCAAAUUCAGAGCACUCCUCACCCUCCUGACAUGCUUAACUUUUCUCCCUUUCGCCAUGAUGAUUUUUGUUACUGGUCCAUUCCUUGACAGCAGUACCUGGAAUGAAAAUGUUCUGCUGCUAUCCAGAGCUACCCCACAUUAGCAAAAGAGGUCAUGACUGGGCCACUCGGAAAGUGCCUUCAUUCAGCACAACCCUCAGUAAUGUAUGGUGCUCAUCUAGCACCCCAGUUCCCAGAGCAGAGGAAGCAGCACACCAAUGACCUGUAACACCCAUGUCUAUGGAGGAGCAAGGCUUUGUGGAGGGAGAGGGCAGAGCUGGGGCCCAAAUGAAAAAAAAAAGGCUUGCUGCUUAGACCUCUGCUUGUCUAAAGCAAAAAGAGAUCCAGUAUCUUGAUGGCUCUUAGCAACGUCUUUAAAGGGGUGAAAAAUCUGAAGUGUGGCCUCUAGCCAUGCCCUACAAAGUUCAGCAAAGAGUUGAACAUCAAUUUUUUUUUCUUGAAUAGCUAGAGAUUACUAAUUCUGAUGAGAUUUAAUUAUCUAUAUGUCUUUGUGCUGCAUAUUUAUAUUAACUCAUCGUGUUUGCUUUGGAGAGGGGAUUAGGAAAAGAGAAGGAACCGGACAGCAUAGCACUGAUAUCCCACAUAAAUUAAGACAUUCUGCAGGAAGGUCAUAUCUCCCUGCAGCAGUUGCAGCUUGUGUGUUUCAGGUGGAAAAUAACUUUUGACACUUGCUACUAGAAAGUUUUAAAUAAGUCUCUACUCAUUCAGAUAACAGAGGCUCCUGUUAAUGGCUGACCUGGGACAUGUACAUAUUAUAAAGGACCAGAGUAGAGUUGCUAUUUUUAUGCAGGCUAGAGAAGGAAGUUGGCUGUGACUGAAAACCAAGAGCACACUGGAUGUUGUGGGUUUCAUUUUUAGCUAUACAUUAAACCUCUAAUGCCACUUCAGUCAAACCAUUCCUAUGUCUUUAUGCUUUUAGCAUCUGUUUAUUGUGUCAUAUGAAGGUCACAUCCCUGAUGUUAGUUCGAUAGGUGAAGCACUCAGCAUUGGCUUAAUUCUGUAUCAUUUAAGUUACUGGUAGCUUUAGCACUGUAAUUAAGCCAAUUUUUGCCAUGUCUGCAAACUCCCUCAGGUGAAAAGAUCCGAAGCGUUGUUCAUCUCUGCCUGUGAGCCCCUAUGCUUCAAAAUCAGGUCCUUUGCACCCACAGCACUUUAUUCCAUUGUAUUCUAGCUCUCGUGAGCACUCCCUCUUUUUUGCUUGCUACUUUACCUCUCUCAUGACCAUCGAAGUUAUGGGACAAGCUGCACUAAUAAUAUGGUCUACAGACGUGUAAGUGGGAGAUUGAAACUGAGUGAGGGUGCCAGGAUGGGAGACUAGGAUUAGAAAGUUCUGAGAGACAAAUCAGAGAAAGUAAGUGAGGGAGCUAAGGUGAGAGAGAUGGAGAGUUCAGCUGGGCUAGAAGACUGAGAGAGCAUAGAGGUCUGGAGAGAAGACUCACAACACCCUUACCAUAGGGAAGAGACAGCUACAGAGGCAGGAGCGGGUGUAAGAAGCCAAGGAUGGGAAAGAAACAAACUAAAGAGUUUGGGGCAGUUGAGGGUCAAGCCUAAUAGAAAUGUCUAGAAACACCUAAGCCCACUAGGUCAGGUUUUUGACCUGCCCAAAAGCCAGUGGACUACCUCUGCUGUGUCUUCUAUCUUCAUUCCUGACAAGCACAAAGAAGAUAUACCUGCUGCUACCAUUAUGUCCUCUGUUAGCUCAACUGAAAGAGGUUGGUGCAGUAGUCAAAAAGGCUCCAAGCUGUUUGAUUCCUUCCAUGCAAAAGAACAGACCAUCCAUGACCAUUUAAAGUGCAAAACAAUGCGGACCCCAGCUUAAAACAUAAAUGAAUAUUAGUGCAACAGGUUCUCCUCUCUGGUGAAGAGCAUGCUAUCUCCUGCUGCUUCCUGAUAAAUACCAGCUUUUCCAAAAUACUGCAGACCAUUAGCCUUUGAUCCUACUUUUACAUUUUAAAAUUGAAAUACCAUCAGAAAAUACUUUCUAGAAAGAUGGAUGAAAUACAUAGGGCCUUGUGGAGCCAGAGAAUCUCAACCUUAUCCAAAGAUUCACUUGGUCUCUUUCACGCUGUGUUGUCAUUUAGCACACUCCUCUCUUUCUUCCUCACUGCCACUCUUGCCUUGAGUAUUGGAAACCAAAAGUUAACCUAAAAAGACAGAAAGAUGAUGCUAAGAUCAUAGCGUUACUGAGUUACAGACCACCCAGACACUAACAUCCCACAUAGUCAGGAUUGAAAGCUACUUUUUAUAAAAACUCAUGUAUGUGUCUGUAGUUAUCUGUUCAGAUUUACCAUUUUACCGUGUUUAUAUUUCCAUUAGUACAUAUACAUACCAUAUAUAUAUAUAUAUAUAUACACAGAUUUAUGGCAAGUGUUACCAAAAAGUUCUGUUACCUAAUGCUAUUUGCCCUCCGACUAUGCUUUUAAAGCAGAAAUAUAUGAUCUUCCAUUUUGCUAAACAGCAAUUGAAUAGCUCUCUUAACAUUAAGAGACUGCUCAGAAAUACCUAACAUUUGCUGUCUAGAUUGCAAGAAUACUUUUCGUGCUGGAAGUUCUUUUUAUACAUUCAUGAAAACCAAGCUUCUCCUCUGGAGACCUGCAGGUCUGAGGAGUAUUUUCUUGCCAGCAUGUAGUCAUUUGGGUCAUUUGGCUGUACUCAUGUUCUGUGAGAUGCAUGUGUGUUGAGGGGCAGAGCAACAUGGUUACAACAGGCAACUCACUCCAGGCCCACUUCAGGAAAGCAUUUAAGUAUUCCCCAUUUGGGAAAGUUUACUAACACAUAAUUGAACUUAAAAAAUGUUUAAAUAUUUUCUGAGUCUGAAUGUGGCUACUACCCUGAGAGAAGGAGAUUUGUUUUUCCGUACUGCUGAUGGCUUACCGUUCUAGCAAAUGCAAUCUUCUUCACAGUUUUCUGUUGUAGCUUUGCUCUUUUCCUGAGUAAUUUUGCAUGCAGAUAAUAUAUCCGUUUCAUCUCAGUGUCAGGAUAAAAUGAAGCUGACACAAGUAUUUUAAGUUGGGUGAGGACACCAGAGAAUAAUCCCAAAACUGUUAAGAAGACGACGAUAAUUCCAAGUGGGAUCCAUGUCGCGGACAGAUAGAGUUCUGGCUUAGGGAUGCAGUCAUGCUUAAACAGAGAGAUCUUGAAAAGGUCAUUCUUUACAGUAAGUGCUCUAUUACCAAUGAUAAAGUUGUUCUCAUUUCUCUGCACAAGAAAAGGGGAAAGAGAGAGUUGAUUGUAGUACUGAUUGCCCCCUUUUUAACUAUUUUUCCCAUUUGAUAUUCAGUUUUACAAAGGACUAUAAAUCAUCUAGUCCAUCUACAUUUUGUCCAUCCUACAAAGGACUACUCACAACAAUAUAUUUAUUAACUGUCUUUAAAAUGUGUCAGAUUGCGUUUUCACCAUUUCUAUAGGGAGACUGUCCCACAGCUUAGACUGUUAGAAACUUAGCUGCUUGGUGGCUCUGACACACAAACACUUAGCUAAUCUGGCUGUGGUGGUGUCAUAGACUCCCACUCCCCUGAAUCUGCCCAUAUCUUCUGUUAGAGGGUCCUCCCUUCGGAAUAAAACCAUGGAGCAGAAUGUGUCAGUCCCUUAAUUUGUAGCUCAGUACGUACUCAACAGUGCUUCCACACUUCCACCUAGGCCAGUGCUCUGACCACAAGGUUAUUGCGCAAAACAAAGUCACCUCUCCUCCUCUAAAAGGUGCCUGAUCUCAGAAGAGCUGAUGUCUUGCACUGUUUGUGGACGGAGAUGCUGAAUGACAGGAACUAAAUGAGAUAUGCUGCUGGGGACAGUAUUUCCUACUGGCAAGAAACUUUCUGCUCAGCAUGUAGGAACACUGAAUCAUCCAGCUCUCUUUUCUUUUCUUCUCAUCCCCUCUUGUCCAGGGGAUAUAUGGCUCUUCUCUGUGGCUCUUCAACCACGCUACAGAGAUCAGGUACUUCUGUUAAGCACUCAUUAGAUAAGUCAGGUGCCCAAAAUAAGCCAUUCAUUUUCAGCCUGUUCUCCCUUUUCUUAACAUUUCCUGUUAUCCCUUUUCUUAACAUUAUCCUGUUCCAAUCUACCUCAGUCUGUUGUUACUAUAUACUGAACUGAUAUAGAAACAAGGAAAACUUGCAUUAGGAACUCUAUGAAACACAGAUACAAAAAUGCAUGCAGACCUUAACUGUUCAUGCCAAGAAUAAACACCUCAGGAGGUUGCUGAGUGUGUUCUGCUUUCAGUCGCUUUCUCUGAGAUCAGCAACCCUGAGGUUUGUUAUGACAAAACCAUUAAGAUUAAAUUUUACAUUUUUAUGUGAUUAGCCUUCAGUGGGGAACUAGAAGCAAUCUGAUACUUGCCAAAUUUUCUCUUUUGGGAGAGAGUCUAUCAGCUCUCCAAAGGAUUGAAUACUGCACAUAAACAGAACAAAUCUAAAGUGUGGAGGCCAUGAAUCAGACAGGCAGGGUCAAGCUCAGAUUAGUGAAUGGUGAGACUAAGCUCCUUCCUUGCACUGACUUGGCUUUCACCCCAUGCAGAUCAUGAGGGGCUGUCCUCAAGGUGAGAAGGGCAGGAACACAUGCAAAAUGGCAUACUGAAUCACACAGAGGAUGGUUGAGGUUGGAAGGGACCUCUGGAGAUUAUCUAGUCCAACCUCCCCCCCCAGCUCAAACAGCAGGGAGUGGGUUGAGCAGGUUGUUCAGGAUCGUGUCCAGUCAGCUUUUGAAUAUCUCCAAGGUCAGAGACUCCACAACCUCUCUGGGAAAACUGUUCCAGUGUUUAAGCACGCUCACAGUAGAAAAGUUUUUUUCUAAUGUUUAGGUGGAAUUUCUUGUAUUUCAGUUUGUGCCCUUUCCCUCUUUUCCUGUCACUAGGCACCACUGAGAAGAGCUUGGCUCCAUCUCCUUCACUUCCUGCCUUGAGAAAUUUACAUGCAUUGAUAAGAUCUCCCAAGCCUCCUCUUCCCCAGGCUGAACAGUCCCAGCUCUGUCAGCCUUUCCUCAUAAGACAGAUGCUUCUGUCCCUUAAUGAUCUUUGUGGCCCUUUGUCGGAAUUGCUCCAGCAUGUCCAUGUCUCUCUUGUGCUGGGGAACCCAGUACUGGACCCAGCACUGCAGACGUGUCUCACCAGGGCUGAGUAGAGAUCCCGGGUGCCUGUUGCUCUUGCUUGAUUUCCUGUUUGUUGAGAUGGACCAUUCUUGAGCUUAGAGGAAGUGGUCCUUGAAAAUCAACCAGUUCUCUUGGACUUGUCAUCUCUUGAGGACUGUGUCCCUGGGGAUCAGGACCGUUCGUGGUCCCAUGGAUGUUUUGGUGAUGCUAGAGCACAGCUGCUGUUCAGCAGGAAGGUUUUUAUGAGAUGCCCAAGAUGUGGGAAGGCAGGCACUCUGGAGUAAGAGCAAACGUGAGGAGUAAAGCCCCCUUUAGCAUGUGUGGCAAUCUGCCACUGCAACAUAUCUCACAUUAUAUUGAACAGAUGAUGACAGCCUGUCUGCUUUUGCACAGGAAUCUGACCUCUCCAGGAUGAUUCUGGCUUGCUACACAUGCACAAAUCACACAGGUACAGCAGUUUCAACAGCUUUUUUAAAGAAAGUUUGGGUAAUAGUCUGCACUUGGCAGCCCGCAUCCUUUAGGUGAAAAUGAGUUUUCCAUUGACAUGAAUUGGUAACUUUUGGCUUAUGUCUACCAUACAGAUCCUGAAUUUCUCCAUUUGUUAAGAAAGAACUGGUCAAUAAUUUAAUUUUUAUCCUAUGGAAAUGUUUGAUAUUUUGAUAUAUCAUGCAAAAAUAUCAUCAUCUGAGGAAUAAUAGAAUUUGACUUGUGGCCUGACUUUUCAUUUUAACUCAUUUCAGUACAAGGUUGCACUUGCCUGAGGUGCCCCCAUGUCUCAAGCACGCUGUGCCCUAAGGCUUCCUUUUCCCUCAUGGCUCAGUCCCAAGCAGAUGAACUUCCCAUGACACACCGGGACCACCAGGCUGCCACAGGACUGUCUAAGCUAAACCUGCAACAGCCUAACAGUGUGUCAUUGGAAGUGUGGUCUGGCUGAGGAGAUCAGCUCAGAGGGACAAUAUGCCACAGGCAGAAGUCAGAAUGGAAAUCUCUUUGUCAAAGAUUGUAUGUCUUGUUCUGUUUACUUGUAAUUUUGAGCAAAACACUUACUGUAUUGCUCACCUUAAGAAUCUUACUCUCUGAAGUCUCUUUUGUCAAAAUGAGCUUUGGGGGGAUGGUGAGAAAAGGGAAUGAAUCCUCAGUAUGAUCAGCUCUAAGAAGAAGUAAUAGAAAACAUUGAGUAAGGAAGCACUGACAGAGGAAAGAGCUUGUAUCACAUUGCACUAAUAGUCAAACAUCCCCUUGAAAUGCUUUUAUCUUGAAAGUAUCAAAGGGUUAUAUGCUUUGGGGAAAUGUUUUAAGCCUGUUCCUGCAAGCUAUCAAAUUGCACAGCUUUCCUGUGCCUGUGCAGCAUCACACAGCAAUGGUGAAGCUGGCAUCAAAUGUGCAUAGGGAUGUCUCCCUUGCCCCCUGCUCCAGCAGCUGCUUAUGGAUUUUCACCUAAAUGAUAAUUCAGAAAUCGUCCUUGGACUAGGGGCUAGAAGUUGGGAGGCCUCAUUCCCAAGGGGAUAUCCUAUCAUUAGGCUAUAUUGUCUUUACACUCUUCCUUCCAGAUUCUUUACUCUUGCACUCCUGGCUUCAGCAUGGCCUAGCUGGAAGAUGAGGAGAGGAGAAUAAUUCACCUACAGGGAGCAGUAACCUCUCCAGACAGUGAAGCUCAGAGCCAGGGCUCUUGGUUACUCAAGACUGCCAGCCAAUACUUGGAAGACCAUACAAGAUGGCCUGUGGAUUUUUUUUCCUCGAAGCUUAAGCAGUCCUCUACAUUAAAAAGGUUAGAGAAAUUGCUUUAGUAAUAUAAAUAUAUCACAUUAAAAAACAGUUAUUAGCUUGUGUGGCAACUAAAAAUGAGACUUAUUUCUGUUUCCAAAGCUCAGAAUUAUUGUGGGUAUUUUAUUUUGUUUUUAUUUUUAAUUAAAACUCUAGUACAGCA